RNAcentral lists this unclassified non-coding RNA (269 nucleotides) under Hevea brasiliensis (rubber tree). Lineage: Eukaryota; Viridiplantae; Streptophyta; Magnoliopsida; Malpighiales; Euphorbiaceae. The record is from RNAcentral.
AUCAAAACAUCAAAUUCAAGAUUACGUCAAUUAUUAUGAUGGUUUAUUGGCAGAAUUUGUUUAUGGAAUUACUAUCAACAAACAAGGGAAAAAAGCUAAAAAGCUAUCUUUCUUCAUUGCAGAGUUUCCUGCAGUUAAAUUUGAUAUAAAAACCUACAUUUUCUGGGAUCACUAUGACCAUACAAAUUUUCCAAAUCAAUUCCUAUUAUAUAUAUUGCCAUGCCGCUAUAAUAAUAUACUGAAGCAACAAAGAUUUAGCUUUCUUUCAG